This 423-nucleotide ribosomal RNA is filed under the name uncultured bacterium. Its description in RNAcentral is "bacterial SSU rRNA". It matches the Rfam family "Bacterial small subunit ribosomal RNA", at positions 207 to 622 of the family's 1533-position model. The record is from RNAcentral.
AAGACCUUGCACUUUUGGAGCGGCCGAUGUCUGAUUAGCUAGUUGGUGGGGUAAUGGCCUACCAAAGCUUCGAUCAGUAGCUGGCCCGAGAGGACGGCCAGCCACACUGGGACUGAGACACGGCCCAGACUCCUACGGGAGGCAGCAGUGGGGAAUUUUGGACAAUGGGCGCAAGCCUGAUCCAGCCAUGCCGCGUGAGUGAAGAAGGCCUUCGGGUUGUAAAGCUCUUUCAGCCGGGAAGAAAAGGUUGCGACUAAUAAUCGCAAUCCAUGACGGUACCGAAAGAAGAAGCACUGGCUAACUACGUGCCAGCAGCCGCGGUAAUACGUAGGGUGCGAGCGUUAAUCGGAAUUACUGGGCGUAAAGGGUGCGCAGGCGGUUUUGUAAGUCAGAUGUGAAAUCCCCGGGCUUAACCUGGGAACU